GAUGAUGAAAUGUGUAUGCAUUGUUCUCCACUCAUGAAGGACUAAACUGUGUUAAUAAUGUGAUUGAUAUAGUUCAUGUUGUUGUUUGCUGUGUCACUGAAACUUAUUGUUUGUUUGUCUUUUUAAUUUGUUUCUUGUACUGUUGAGAUUACAUAAAUUAUAUUAAAUUUAUUGAGAGUAUCUUUUGUUUCUGGAUAUUUUGUCUCCAGUUUAGUUGUGUAAGUUGUGUGUAUUAAGUAAUAAUUUUUAUUAUCCUUAUUAUGUUUGUUAUAUGUUUUUAUUUUAUUUUUAAACUUGUUGCUCUUACCGGACUUUUAAAACAAAUACAUGAAAACUUGUAGAAAUAACAUUAAAAUGAGUGACAGUUCUGAGUAUUUGGGCUUUAAUGAGUUUCAAACGAAUUUAUGUAUUUCUCAUAAGAAGACAAUAGCAUUGGCCUGUUGACAUUGGGCACGUAAGCUAUUUUUAUAAGAUAAGAGGAGUGAGCAGGUGGAGCUGUUGUUGCCGCCUUUGUGUAUGUCGGGAUUGUCUCUUGUAUCUCCUGUUGUGGCUGUGUUUGUUUAUCUUUUAUUUGAUGGGUAAUAUGUAAACAAAAAUCAUUGUUAGUUGUAUUUAUUAGAGUUCAUAACUUACUCUGUUUUUUUUGUUUAGGUAAUUUCAGUGAUAUUAGUUGUGGUUUUCGUCUUCAUUCCGAAAGUAAGUUUGUAAAUUAUUAAAUAGCUGGUCAUGUAGUUUGUAUUUGUUUGGCUGACUCGAUGUAUGUGUCGUUGCGAAAAUAAGUUUGUAAAUUGUUAAAUAGCUGCCGGUGUAGUUUGUAUUUGUUUAGCUAACUCGAUGUAUGUGUCGUUGAGUAUUAGUUGAGGUGAUUGGUUUGGUAUAUUUGUUUUGAAGUUUAUUUCUAAAAUUAGACAAAAAAGAGAGGUGAUCAUUAAUGAUUCGUCUGU
This 944-nucleotide long non-coding RNA is filed under the name Brassica napus (rape). RNAcentral's name for it is "long non-coding RNA (BNAP_LNC014110)". Lineage: Eukaryota; Viridiplantae; Streptophyta; Magnoliopsida; Brassicales; Brassicaceae. The record is from RNAcentral.